RNAcentral lists this ribosomal RNA (400 nucleotides) under uncultured bacterium. Its description in RNAcentral is "bacterial SSU rRNA". It matches the Rfam family "Bacterial small subunit ribosomal RNA", at positions 356 to 773 of the family's 1533-position model. The record is from RNAcentral.
GGGGAAUAUUGCACAAUGGGGGAAACCCUGAUGCAGCGACGCCGCGUGGAGGAAGAAGGUCUUCGGAUUGUAAACUCCUGUUGUUGAGGAAGAUAAUGACGGUACUCAACAAGGAAGUGACGGCUAACUACGUGCCAGCAGCCGCGGUAAAACGUAGGUUACAAGCGUUGUCCGGAAUUACUGGGUGUAAAGGGAGCGCAGGCGGGAAGACAAGUUGGAAGUGAAAUCCAUGGGCUCAACCCAUGAACUGCUUUCAAAACUGUGUUUCUUGAGUAGUGCAGAGGUAGGCGGAAUUCCCGGUGUAGCGGUGGAAUGCGUAGAUAUCGGGAGGAACACCAGUGGCGAAGGCGGCCUACUGGGCACCAACUGACGCUGAGGCUCGAAAGUGUGGGUAGCAAAC